This 505-nucleotide ribosomal RNA is filed under the name uncultured bacterium. RNAcentral's name for it is "partial 16S ribosomal RNA". It matches the Rfam family "Bacterial small subunit ribosomal RNA", at positions 28 to 507 of the family's 1533-position model. The record is from RNAcentral.
GACGAACGCUGGCGGCGUGCCUAAUACAUGCAAGUAGAACGCACAGUUUAUACCGUAGCUUGCUACACCAUAAACUGUGAGUUGCGAACGGGUGAGUAACGCGUAGGUAACCUGCCUGGUAGCGGGGGAUAACUAUUGGAAACGAUAGCUAAUACCGCAUAAUAUUGAUUAUUGCAUGAUAAUUGAUUGAAAGAUGCUAUUGCAUCACUACCAGAUGGACCUGCGUUGUAUUAGCUAGUAGGUGAGGUAACGGCUCACCUAGGCGACGAUACAUAGCCGACCUGAGAGGGUGGUCGGCCACCCUGGGACUGAGACACGGCCCAGACUCCUACGGGAGGCAGCAGUAGGGAAUCUUCGGCAAUGGACGAAAGUCUGACCGAGCAACGCCGCGUGAGUGAAGAAGGUUUUCGGAUCGUAAAGCUCUGUUGUAAGAGAAGAACGGGUGUGAGAGUGGAAAGUUCACACUGUGACGGUAUCUUACCAGAAAGGGACGGCUAACUACGUG